UACGAGAGCCUCGAUCGUUAUCCGGAAUUAUUGGGCGUAAAGGGUGCGUAGGUGGCAAUGUUAGUCUUUUGUUAAACCCCCGGGCUUAACCUGGGAUCUGCGAAGGAAACGGCAUUGCUUGAAAGUGCGAGGGGUGUACGGAACUCAUGGUGUAGGGGUGAAAUCCGUUGAUAUCAUGGGGAACACCAAAAGCGAAAGCAGUACACUGGCGCAUAUUUGACACUGAAGCACGAAAGCGUGGGUAGCGAAUGGG
This 253-nucleotide ribosomal RNA is filed under the name uncultured bacterium. Its description in RNAcentral is "partial 16S ribosomal RNA". It matches the Rfam family "Bacterial small subunit ribosomal RNA", at positions 524 to 776 of the family's 1533-position model. The record is from RNAcentral.